GUCCACGCCGUAAACUAUGGGUGCUAGCCGUUGGACAGCUUGCUGUUCAGUGGCGCAGCUAACGCAUUAAGCACCCCGCCUGGGGAGUACGGCCGCAAGGUUAAAACUCAAAGGAAUUGACGGGGGCCCGCACAAGCGGUGGAGCAUGUGGUUUAAUUCGACGCAACGCGAAGAACCUUACCAGCUCUUGACAUGUCAGGUCGGUUUCCAGAGAUGGAUUCUCCCAGCAAUGGGUCUGAACACAGGUGCUGCAUGGCUGUCGU
This 263-nucleotide ribosomal RNA is filed under the name uncultured bacterium. RNAcentral's name for it is "partial 16S ribosomal RNA". It matches the Rfam family "Bacterial small subunit ribosomal RNA", at positions 793 to 1055 of the family's 1533-position model. The record is from RNAcentral.